RNAcentral lists this ribosomal RNA (253 nucleotides) under uncultured bacterium. RNAcentral's name for it is "partial 16S ribosomal RNA". It matches the Rfam family "Bacterial small subunit ribosomal RNA", at positions 524 to 776 of the family's 1533-position model. The record is from RNAcentral.
UACGUAGGGUCCGAGCGUUGUCCGGAAUUAUUGGGCGUAAAGGGCUCGUAGGCGGUUUGUCACGUCGGAAGUGAAAACUCAGGGCUCAACCCUGAGCGUGCUUACGAUACGGGCAAACUAGAGGUAUGCAGGGGAGAACGGAAUUCCUGGUGUAGCGGUGGAAUGCGCAGAUAUCAGGAGGAACACCGGUGGCGAAGGCGGUUCUCUGGGCAUUACCUGACGCUGAGGAGCGAAAGCGUGGGGAGCGAACAGG